GAUGGACAGAAGUCAAACAGAAGGGAUUGUGAGGUGCAUACAUGUUGGGCUGUUAUGUGUGCAGGAAGAUCCAGCAGACAGGCCAACAAUGUCAUUUGUGGUUCUAGCUUUGGGAAGUGACCCAAUAGCUCUUCCUCAGCCGAAACAACCUGCUUUCACUCUAGGUAAAAUGGUUCCAAUCUACAAGUCUUCACCGACAGAUCCUUCUGUAAAUCAAAUGACUGUUUCUGGUAUCACACCGCGCUGAUUGUUAAUAAGAUUGCCACUGUUCUUGUCAAUGUCUGCGGCAAUUGGUGUGGUUCAGAAUAGCUAGUUUUCUUAGCCAUUUUGUUAAGAUCUCAAAAUGGUGAAUAGAAGACCUCAAAUUGUGUAUAAUAAAAAUGUGUCUGAAUAGCUAGUUGGAAUUAUAAGGGGUUCUGACAAAUUAUAAGCCAGAAAUAAAUAGAAUGACAAGACACUGUACAGUAAUUUUAAAAUAAUUUUUUUUUAUAUAAAUAUUAAGAUGAAAACAUAUUAGAUCGAUUCAAGUUUAUUCAUAUUAAAAUGUAAACUUUACAAUCUCGAUCAUGAGACUGUUAUAAUCUCAUAAAAAAAAUAUUGAAAUCCAAUUCUCAAUCAAUCCAAAUAUUGAAUGAUAAAAUAAAAAAAAAUAAUUAAAAAAAGAUAAAAAAAACCCUGAAUCAACAAGUUAACUUACAAAACUCAUGAUCUGAAUCAUGAAAUUAUGAUAACCUCAGAGAAAGUAAACCAAAAGAAAUUAUAAAGUUCAAUCCUCUAAUAAAUCUAAUUAUUAAAGGAUUAAAUUAAAAAAAUUAAAUUAAAAAUUAAAAAAAAAGAAAAAAAUUAUUGUUCCAAUUAACACUACUUUUAGGAGGAGGUGAAGAAUGAUUUUAAUUAUAUUUUAUAUUUAUAUAAAUAUUAAAUUCCCCUUUAACCAACCUAAUAAUUACAUAAAAAUCAAUUAAAAUAUAAAAAAAAUCUCUUAACAACAGUUUUAGAUUUUUUUACUUACAAUUAUAUUUUAAUAAUUUUACUAUGUAUUAAAAAUAAAAAUAAAAACUUAUUUAUACUCAAUGAAUUUGGUCAUGACUAAUGAUUCGUAGAUAAGAUAAAAUCAUCAUUGCAUUAUUUUAUUAAUCAUUAUUUUCGCUCACAGUAAACAUUGUUUACACUUAUAUUGAAUAGUGUUUUUCAAGGGGAUUUAGGCUUUGUUAAUGUUUUUCAAAGUAGGUUGAGAAAACGAUAGGAAUUGAGAGGGUUUUUAUAGAUUUUUUCCUUCAGUUUCUCAACAAAAUCCUAAUGGAAAGGAAACAUUAAAAAAAUCAUAUUGUUUAAGAGGUAAAAUCAAGGAUUUUUUUAGUUCAAAGGUUUUCAAUUUUUUGUUGUUGAAUUGCCAAAGAGAGAGUUGGCUCUCUCGACUCACAAGUUCACCUAAAGGGUUCAUAAAUUGGCAUUGUCAAGGAAUAAUUAAGAGGUUGUAUUUUAAUAAUUAAAUCUAUUCUUUAAAAAAAAAAGUGCUAUUACUUUCAUUAAUAAUAGUUAAAAAUAUUAUUGGUUAUGCUAUUAUUUCAAUUUUUGAAUGGUUCGAUUAUGCUAGUAGAGUUUAUUUGGCAAUGUUGUAAUUUUUAUUUUUCAAAAUACUUUUAAAAUUAUUUUUCAUUUGAAAAAUGUAUCAAAUUGAUUUUUUAGAUGUUUUUUAAUGAUUUUGAGAUGCUGAUAUUAAAAAAAUAAUAAAAAUUAUAAAAUAAUAUUAUUUUAAUAUAUUUUCGAUUGAAAAACACAUUUAAAAAAAAUACUCUACAUUACAAUACUAAAUACAUAAUUAGUUUAGUUUAAUGAGUGCCCUCAUUAUAGGCAUGUGUGAUGAAGUCUUUUUUUCCUUUGUUUAUUAUAAUAUAACUAAAACAUGUGGUGAAAGUACUAUAGCUUUCCUUACAUGUUACCGUUGAUUGCUAUAAUGCUUCUUUUUUUUUUCUAAAUUAUCUUUGUCACUUUUAUUUUUUUAAUAUUAAAGUGGUUAAUAAUUUAGCUUUAUAAUGUUUUUUCCUUUAAAACACUAUGAAUUCCUACAAUGUUUCUCCACAUAGUUUUUAUGAUUAUUUUCAAAAUUGUUUGUCGAUUUUAUUUUUUUAAUAUAUAUUGAGCUGGUUGAGAAUUACAGCUGUAGCUUUUCUCAUAAAACACUGUGGAUUGCUACAAUAUUUCCCCACAUGAUUUUAGUUUUUUUUCAUUUUUUAAAGAUUUUUUUCAAAAUUAUAUUUGUCGAUUUUAUUUUUUUAAUAUUGAGUUGGUUGAGAAUUUAGCUUUGUAAUUUUUUUCCUUAAAACAUUGUGGAUUACUAAAGUGUUUCCCCACAUGUUUUUUAUGUUUUUUUUUUUUAUGUUUUAUGAUUUUUUCCAAAAUUAUUUUUGUUGAUUUUAUUUUUUAAUAUUGAGCUGGUUGAGAAUUACAAUUAUAAUGUGGGGAAAACACUGUAACUUUCCUCACAAAUUACUGUGGAUUGCUAUAGUGUUUUCCCCACAAGAUUUUUUUUUAGUUUUUUUAUGUUUUUUUUUUUAAAUUGUCUUUGUCGAUUUUAUUUUUUUAUAUUGAGCUGGUUGAGAAUUAUAAUUACAAGCAAUAUAAGUAAGGCUAAAUCAUGUGGGGAAAGCACUGUAGCUUUCAUCACACAACACUGUGAAUUGCUAUAGUGUUUCACAAUAUGGUUUUUUUCCCCGUCUUUUUUGUGUUUUCUUUUUUGUUAUGAUUUUUUCCAAAAUUAUCUUUGUCGAUUUUAUUUUUUUUAAUAUUGAGCUGGUUAGAAUUUAACUUUGUAAUUUUUUUUUAAAAAAAUACUGUUGAUUGCUACAGCGUUUCCCCACAUGGUUUUUUUUUGUUAUCAUUUUUUCUAAAAUUAUCUUUGUCGAUUUUUUUUUUAAUAUUGAGUUGAUUGAGAAUUACAAUUACAAUAAAGCUAAAUCAUGUGGGGAAAGCAUUAUAGCUUUCCUCGCAAAACACUGUGGAUUGCUAUAUAGUCUUCCUAUAUGAUUUUUUUUUCUUAUGAUUUUUUUGAAAUUAUCUUUGUCGAUUUUAUUUUUUUAAUAUUGAACUGGUUGAGAAUUACAAUUACAAGUAAGGCUAAAUCAUAUAGGAAAGCACUAUAGCUUUCCUCGCAAAACACUGUAGAUUGCGACAGUGUUUCCAAGACGGUUUUUUUUUGUGUUUUUUUUAUGAUUUUUUUUUUAAAUUAUCUUUGUCGAUUUUAUUUUUUUAAUAUUGGGCUAGUUGAGAAUUUAGCUUUGUAAUUUUUUAAAAAAUAUUGUGGAUUGCUGCAGUGUUUCCCCACAUGUUUGUUUUGUUUUUUUAUUAUGUUUUUUUAAAAAAUUAUCUUUGUCGAUUUUAUUUUUUAAUAUUGAGUUGGUUGAGAAUUACAAUUAUAAUAAAGCUAAAUCAUGUGGGAAAAACACUGUAGCUUUCCACACAAAACAUUGUGGAUUGUUAUAGUAAUUCCUUACAUGGUUUUGUUUUGUUAUGAUUUUUUUUAAAAAAAAUUUCUUUGUCGAUUUUACUGGGAAAAGCAUUGUAGCUUUCCUAAGAAAACACUGUGGAUUGCUAUAGUGUUUCCUCUCAUGGGUUUUUUUUUUUCAAAAUUAUCUUUGUCGAAUUUUUUUUAAUAUUGAGCUGGUAAAUAAUUAAACUUUGUAAUGUUUUUUUCUUUUUAUUGAUAGAAAAGCUAAAUCAUGUGGGGAAAGCACUGUAUCUUUCCUCACAAAACAUUGUGGAUUGAUACAAAUCAUUCUAUUCAGUCUCUAAAUUUUUUAUCAUCAACACAACUUUUUUUUUUUUUUGGAAUAUUGACUCCAUCAUACCUUCAGUUUUUAUUACUUAUCUCGUGCUGGUUCACAAUUAUACUUAACAUCAUCAAACACAUUUAUUUCAUAAGCCCGUGGCAGUGCGUGAGCAUGCCUUCUAGUUCUACACUAUAUCCCAUAUAUAAAAUAUUUGGAUAUAUAGAAGAAUUCUAUAUUUUUAUCCAUAUUUUUGAAUUUUAUGUCCAUAAUGAUAUCAUAUUUUGUAGUUCAAACGAUAUUUUACAAUUUAAUCUUUCAUUAGACUAAAAAGUAUAUCCCAUAUAUAAAAAUAAUAGAAAUUACAACUUGGUAUUUGAAAAUGUCGUUGAGAACAUUAACACAUAGUCUUCUUGGCGUAUGGAGAAUAUAAAAAACUCUUUGAACUUCCUAAAUUUGGAUUAAUUGUUUAUGUAGAAACGAUUGCAUCGCGCAUACAUAAAUGAGUUUAAGUCACCAAGAAUCAACAACAAACGAGCUGCAUAAUUAAUAACUACCUUACGUAAAAUAUUAACUUUCAAAUAAAAUGAUGGAAUUCUACAAAUCAGCUUGCAUUGAUAAAACUAAUUUAAAGUUUUUUUUAUUGUUUUUGUCUGUUUUUUUGGUGAACAUUAACCACCAAAAGUAACAACAAGCACAACUAACAUAGAAUCACCAUACAAAAUCUUAAUUUUAAAUUUUAUUAUUGGAUAGUUUAUCUUUAAAUAGUCUCUUGAAAUACAAGCAGAAUAAUAAUAUUUAUAUAAGUCCAAAAUCUAUCUUGAAAAGAAAAAAAUCCUAAUAAAUAAUUACAUAUAUAGUUAUUCUAUGAAUUUUUAAACUAAUUAGGAAAAAUAAAUUUACUAAGUAUAGUAUUUAAUUUUCUAAACUAAAUAAAAGAUAUAAAAACACCAUUAAAAAAUAAUUUUCCAAACCAUAUAGAAAUAAAAAUAAUUAAUAAAAUAAAUAUUUUAAUUGCUAAAAAUCCCCCGCAUCCUAAACUGAUAGACGAUCAAAUAAACUGAUUUAUAUAUGUUUCAAUACACACAGCAUAGUCAUUACAAUGCCUAUGACCACUCAGAGGUUCUUUGGGUUGCGGUGCAAUCUCUAUCUCAUGAUUUUUUAAAUUUAUUUUUGGUUAAAAUUAUUCUUUUAUAUUUUUAAAUUUUGAUAUAAUAAUAUUAAAAAUAAUUUUAAAAGAAUAAAAAAUAUUAUUUUGAUGUAUUUUUAAGUAAAAAACACUUUAAAAAACAACCGCUACCACAUACUUAAAUACUCUCUUAAAUAUUUAAUUUUUAUGUACCAUUAACUAUAUUUGAAUACUCUUCAAAAUACAUUUAGUUUAAGAAAAUAUUAAAUUUAUGUUUUUUAGUAUUUUUAAAAAUACUAGUUUGUCGUGCACUUUUUGUUUUUAAACUUCUGCUGCGUUUUCUUUUCACAACGCACCUCUCAUAUAUAUAUACUUGUGAUAUUACGGGAACUGAAUGUAUAAUUUUUUACCCAUAAAAUUUGGUUUUUCCGUGGAUGACAAGGGAAACAUUCUAAGUAAUUUUUGUUUGUUAAAAUAUUUUUUGUCCAAAACAAAAUCAAGCUUAUAUAAUUUUAAAUAUUUUUUUAAUUAUUUUAAUAUGCUUAUAUAAAAAAUAAAAAAACAUAAAAAGUUGUUAUUAUUAUACAUUUUAAUUAAAAAAAUAUUUGUAAAAAUUACUUCAUACUAUAUCACCGAAUAUGUACCUCGAGGCUGAGAUUUAAAUGCAUGAAGAAAAAGUGGGCCGAUCGUAAAUGCAGUUUCUUACAAUUUUCCAAGUACGAAAUAUGAAUCAUAAAACAAGUCCUGUUCAAACUCGGAAUUGUUGUUCAAAGACGAACAUUGAAUAUUCAUUGAAUAUUGGUUAAAACUUUGAGUCCAGGUCAAAUCAUUAACGUCCAGCCAUGUUCUUAACAAAUCUUACAAAUUACAUAAGACCUUCCUGGAAACUACACACCACGAAUAGAUCGCUGUCAAAAAUUCAGUAUUCAUUGUCUAAUAUAGUUUUGUUGACCAUAGCAAGUCCAUUUUUCUUUUUCAACACACACAUCCAUUUUUCGAUGAUCUUUAAGAUCUUUGCUAAUGUGUUGAGUUUUUUCCAAGGAUAUGACAUUAAAUUUGAUAAUUAAAUAUGAAUUUAAUCCAAAAUAUUAAAAUUCAGUGGUGAGUGACUCAUUAAUAUUACCUUAUAUUCUUAUAAUUAUUUGACGGGGGACUUCGUUCUAUAACAAUAUUUUUCUUCUUGCCUUGAUUUAUCCCAAUUCUUCCAAGAAAAUUCCCAUGUGCUAUAUGCUUUUGGAUGACCAACCAUGUUGACUGCUUUAUAUAUAUAAAUAUGGUCUCCCGGCCGUAAGGUGAAGGAAGACAGCAAACAAUUUCAGCUACAAAUUAUAGAUGAUCCUUGAUAUCGAAAUCUCAAAACACAAGAUAUGGGUCACAAUUUCCUUGUUGUUAAAAAAAGUUUUCAAAUUCUUUUGCUGUAUUUUUCCAUUGCCAACCUUCUUGAUCUUGCUUAUGCUGAUCCUCCUUACAGACUUUGCUCGAACAAAUCUAACUAUAUAGAUAAUAGUCCAUUUCAAAACAAUCUCGAGACCCUCAUGGCUUCUCUUUCUUCAAAUGCUUCAGUUUCAAAAAUUUUCAAUACCUCUACUGGAAUUGAUCCAGACAGAGUGUAUGCUCAGUAUAUGUGCCUCAACUAUGUAACAAAUGAAAGCUGCCGUACCUGCGUAGCUGCAGCAUCUCAAGAUAUCAGGCAGCUUUGUCCAGGAGAUAAGGAAGCAGUUGUGUGGGGAGACCUAUGUCAAUUGCGCUACUCGAAUCAAAGAUUCUUAGGCCACUUGGAUGUUUCAGGAAACAUUCCCCAAUAUAAUGCAAAGAACAUUUCAAAUCCAGAACAUCUUAGUUUAGUAGUCAACAAAAUCUUGAGUAGUCUUAUCAAGAAGGCAGCUUUUGAUUCUUCAGCGAAUAUGUAUGCUACUAGAGACGAACCUUUCACUGAUAGUGACAGCUUUUUCUCUCUAGUACAGUGCUCUACAGACUUGUCUCCAAAUGAUUGUUACACAUGCCUUGAGGUUGCCAUAAAAAAUGUUACGACUUGUUGCUAUUUUUCUCGUGGAGCAAGGGUUUUCAGCCGCAGUUGCUAUUUAAGGUAUGAGUUAUAUGCUUUCUAUGACGGCGCAUCUGAAUCUUCUCAAAGUCCGGUGACCGGAAAAGGUACUAAUUUGCUUAUAGAUUAAUUAAGACGUAAGAAGUGGUUAUAUUUGGUUGUAUUUGCUAAUAAAAAAAAACUAUACUUCAUGCACUGAAAAUAAUUUCUUUUCCGUAAUGACAGGCAACGAAAGCGAAAUAUGGAUAAUUACCAUCAGUACUGUGGCAUCAACACUUUUGGUGGUAGCAAUUUUAGGCUCCUUCUUCUGCCAUCUUGCGAUGAAAUUCAGAAUGCGAAAAUGCAAGAAUGCUUCUUAUGAAAUUCACUCACAUGUUCUUUUUGGUUUUCUUUGUAACCCUUGUUGACUACUUGAAUCUUGUCAUACAGGUAAGAAAGAAAAUACUAGUCAAGAUGGUAAAUUCCGUGGGUUUGAUCACCCAAACCGCAAUGAUUUCCAGAACCAAGAUUUUCAGAGAGAUGGCCUUAAUGAUCGGGAAUCCGCAAUUAUGGAUUUGGCAUCCAUAAAUGCAGCUACUGAUAACUUUUCUGAAGCAAACUUUCUUGGGCAAGGUGGUUUUGGCCCAGUAUACAAGGUACAUGAAUCACAAUAUCUUAUGUUCAAGCUCAAAUUACCUUACGAAGUACUCUAGAGAAGAGAUAGAAGGAGGUUUUACUAAUUCCUUUGUUGUGAAUUUUUGAAGGGUAUACUGAGUGAUGGAAAGGAAUUAGCAGUAAAGAGACUUUCAGCUUCGUCCGAGCAAGGCAAAAACGAGUUUACAAAUGAAGUUCUGCUAAUCAUGAAACUUCAGCACAAAAAUCUUGUUAAGCUUCUCGGUUUUUGUGUUGAUGGAGAGGAAAAGCUUCUGGUCUAUGAAUUCAUGCCUAACAACAGCCUAGACAUGGUCCUCUUUGGUAACUAGUCCUCUUUAAUAAGUUUCUUAGUGUUUUGAAAUCAGAAAUUUCCAUUCAUUGAUCUCAGAGACAAUAUGCUGAAAUUUUAUUUCUCAAAUACUGAAUACAAGCAAUAAUUUGAUUUCGUAUCAAUUUUGAUUUAACUGUACGUAGAUCCGAGGAAAGGUGCUCAACUUAGUUGGAGAAGUCGUAUUCAUAUUAUAAAUGGGAUUGCAAAGGGAACUCUUUAUCUCCAUGAGGAUUCUAGACUUAGAAUCAUCCAUCGGGACCUGAAAGCUAGCAAUAUCUUGUUGGACAAUAACAUGAAUCCGAAGAUUUCUGACUUCGGAAUGGCAAGGAUCAUGGAAGCUAAUGAAGGCGAAGCCAAUACUGUUAGGAUAGCGGGAACAUAGUAAGUGAAUUUUCACCUGAAUUAUCUUUGUAUACUAAAUAUAAUCACUUCAUUAGUUGCCCGAUUUCCUAGACAAUAAUAAUAUAACAAAGCAUAAUGACAUGAUUCAUCAUUUGCCGUGUUUCAUUUUUCUAACUAAUUUUCCGAGUCUGGAGUUUUUUGGGCCACCUCUGUAUUGGAGCACAGCACAUAGGGCUUGUUGGAUAUUUACUUUUCCAGGAUUACUAAAAAUUUCCUGUCCCUUCUGUUGAAUAGUGGAUACAUGGCACCAGAGUAUGCAAUGGAGGGACUUUACUCCACCAAAUCUGAUGUUUUUAGUUUUGGAGUUAUUCUGUUGGAGAUCAUAACCGGAAGAAAGAAUUCUGGAUUCCACAAAUCGAAACGUGCUCCUAGCCUCCUAGCUUAUGUAAGUUUCUUCGGCAUAGAAUACACAUAAUCACUUGCUUGACACUAUGAUAAAAAUGUUUAGUUAAAUACACUUACGAAUCCUGAAUCAGGCAUGGGAAUUAUGGAACAAUGGAAAGGAACUCGAGAUGAUAGAUCCAGUGUUGGCUGAUUCAUGCUGCUCUGAUGAAUUUUCCCGAUGCGUGCACAUCGGUUUAUUAUGCGUCCAAGAAGAUGCUAGUGAAAGGCCAGCCAUGUCGUCCGUUGUUUUAAUGCUGAAAAGUGACAACUCAAUUGAUCUUCCCCAAUCUCAACGGCCGGCCAUUUUUGCUGGGAGAUUUACAGACCACCACGAGGCAAAAGCUAAUGAUUGUUCUGUCAAUUGCUUAACAGUUUCUGAUAUUUUACCUAGCUGAUGAAGCUGGUGAAUGAAGUGCAUGUGUGACCACGAAGCCCUCUUAGGUAUGUCCGCGGCUAUAUAGGAUGGGGCAAAAUACGUUCAUUGUUUCUCAGUUGCAAAAAUUGGUAUGAAAGAGUAAUAAUGGAAUGAAAUCAAUUAUCUGUUAAAAAAUUUGUUUAAUAUAAUUAUUUAUUACAAUAUUUUGAAUGUGGAUACUGAAUAUUUGAUUUGGUAGUUAAAAACAAUUAAAAAAACACAGUUUUACCGCAAUGCAAUCACCACCUUAGUGUUCUCUAAACCACACUCAAUUGAUGGAUGCAAAAAAUUGGGAGAGGAAACUAUUUAUAGUAUAUUUUUAACAUAAAAAGCAAAACUAAAAAAGGUGCAUUAAUUCACCUCUCCCGAGUCCAUGCAGAUCGCACGAUGAGAUUGUGCAUGCCAUGAAAUUUCAACUUUGUCCCGUGAAGACAAAGCAUGCAUUACACAGUUGAAGACAAAGCUGCUGGUGCACUUUAAUGUCGGUGCUGAGUAUCGGUAGAAGAUGCUAAGCAAGGGCAGACAAAUACUGUGUUGAUAACAAGUCAAUUUUCACGUAUUGGAUUCUUUUGUAUGAAUUAUUUAAAAAAAAGAAGAGUACCAAUGACAAGAGAAGAAACUUUUUUUAGUCAAUAAUUUAAAUUCAAUGUUACCUUUUAUCUAAUCUUUGUUUAAAAUGAUUAACAAAUUGAAGUCAAAUUAUUCAUGCAUCACAUGUACAUAUGAACUUCAUUAAUGUAAUGAAAUUGGAGGAUUACACACGACCAAGUUGGAUGACCCCACUUUACAAUUACUUUUUUAUCCUAGUCUUAUAUAAAUAAUAAAGUGCACGCGUGAUUUUAGUGGGUUUUUUUUUCUCUUUAAUUUCAUUAGUUAAUAAAGCACAUGUAAGGAACAUGUGUAAUUAAUUAAUAAUAUUUGGUUAUUAUCUUAAGGUAAAAUAGAUAGGGAUAAUAUGGAUGAAAAUGACAUGUCUAUCUUUUAUUUCUUACUUUAAAAGUCUACAUUCAAACUUAGUUGGGGGCAUAGCUUCCUUUUCUCUGAUAAUCCGAAUAUCCCUUUUGUUUCUUCUUUUGAAAUUUAAGUUCAUUGAUUAAGUUCUGAAAAGUAGAUGGCCAAUACUGGAUUGGGCAAGAAAUGGGAAAGCCUUGGUGGCUAUUGGAUCUUCUUGUGGAAAACGCACACCAACCUUUCGGCUUUUUGAUCUUCUUGUGGAAAAGGGCAGAGAUAUGAUGAGCAUGUAAUUUGGGUGUGUUUGGGAAAACAUCACCUCCGGACCUGCUAAAAAAAUCUCUAUGAAAUGAUGAAUUCAGCCCUGCAAAGUUCAAGAUACUGUAGAUGCCUGUCGAACUUGAUGUCGAUGUUAUCAAGUAGAUCUAUUCCUUUGGUUUGCAAUAGUGAAUUUAAAAGUAUAGAGCUAUUUUUGAAGCUAAUAUAUUAGUGAAUGAAGGGGAUGUAAAGAUCACGUUAGGAAAUUUUGAGAUCAUGCACGAACCAUGUGGCUAAUAGACCAUUAGGAAACAUGGUUGGUGAGAAGCACCAAUCCUGGAAUAAAGUACUAAAUAGUGGCUUCGCUUUGGUAAAAGCACUUCGUUAAAGUAAGUAAGACUGAAAGGAGCCAUCAACGGGUAAAGUAGCAAAUGCCUGCGAGCAGGAGAAUCUCAAUAUCCCUUUUUAUGGAUUAAGUUUUGAAAAGUAGAUGGCCAAUACUGGAUUAGGCAAGAAAUGGGAAAGCCUUGGUGGCUAUUGGAUCUUCUUGUGGAAAACGCACACCAACCUUAAUUUCGGCUUUUUGAUCUUCUGGGAAAACAUCACCUCCGGACCCGCUAAAAAAUCAUUAUGAAAUGAUGAAUUCACCCUGCAAAGUUCAAGAUACUUACGUACCUGUCGAACUUGAUGUCGAUGUUAAGAAGUAGAUCUAUUCCUUUGGAUUGCGAUAGUGAAUAUAAAAGUUUAGAGCUAUUUUUGAAGCUAACAUAUUAGUGAAUGAAGGGGAUGUAAAGAUUUUAGGAGCAAUGAACCACGUUAGGAAAUUUUGAGAUUAUGCACGAACCACGUGGCUAGAAUACCAUUAGGAAACAUGGAUGGUGAGAACCACCAAUCCUGGAAUAAAGUGCUAAACGGUGGCUACGCUUUGGUAAAAGCACUUUGUUAAAGUAAGCAAGACUGGAAGUAGCCAUCAACGGGUAAAGUAGCAAAUGCCUGCGGGCAGGAGAAUCUUAAUGGCUUUCCAACAAUUAAAGAGCCAUCCAUUACAGGACUUUCUUUUCUUGUAACUUGAAUGUCAAUUGUUUGAUGACUUAUUUUUUCAAUUUUAUAGCGAAGGGAGACUUUUAAUUUUUUAUAAUAAACCAGAGGACGGGUUUUUCUCAAAUCCGGAGAGUAUAUUUUAUAAUUUCAAGUACAUUUGUCUUUAUUCUAAUCUUGUAUUAAUUGUAAAGGCUUCCUAGAAUUUCUUACCUUUAAUUUAUCCAGACAAGAGUUAUUAGCAAAUUAGUACUCUAGCGUUUUAUUUUUAUUUUUCUUAUUUUGUAUUAUUAGAGAAUUCUAUUUUUUUUAUUUAAAUAAUUAUAAUAGCUUUUGACAAAUAAAAAAAUUAAUGAAUAAAAGUUAAAUUUUUGCGUUCUAUUGUGUUUUUUUUUUUUUUUGUAAAUUUUAAUUUGUCUUGGGGUUUAUAUGUUUUCUAUAUUUUACCUAAAAAAUUUAAUUUAUUUCAAUUAAUUAGAUCCUGUAUCUUUUUUUUUUUUUUUUUCACUUUGCAUAUAGGACAAUUAAUUUAACAUCACAUAAAGCAUGAUUAUUUUUUGAAAAAUCAAAAUGCUCCUUGAUGACAACAUCAAAGAAAGAAAGAGACAUGAUGGUGGAGAUAGAUCAGAAUGGGGAAUGUUUUGAUGAAGAAAAUUAAAAGAGAGUUAAAUAAAUUUGAAAAUUGAUUUUUAUUUAAUUUCAUAUAGUAUUAACAAAGGAAAAUUACGAGAUUACUAAAUGACAAUUGAAGGUGGUAAUAUUUGAGAAUUUUUUUGAAGAACUAACCCUAUCAAGUUUUAUCAUAUUUGUUCUAAUAAACAAAUAUAUUUUCUACUGAUUUUCGUUUUCAUCUUUGUAAUUUCAAUUAUUUUAUUUUAUUUCCUUAAUUACUUCUUUAAUGAGAUUGUGAUUUUUAAUAAUGCAAUUAAAAUCCACACACCUGACAGAAAUGGGGGAGGGAGAAAUUGGAACAAAGAUGAAAGAUGUAAGGUCUAAUUGAAACAAACCAAAGAUUUUAGAUGAAAUUAAAAUCUAUCCUUUAUUUUUCUGAGUUUUUUAAUAAGACCAAAUUCCGUAUUCUUUUCUCCAUACGCAGCAUUAAGACGUACAAGAAGACUUUUCAUCAAGUGACCUUUCUCUAUCCUUCGAUGCACAAGCUGCAUAAAAUAGCAAGAGAAGACCUUCAACUCUUGAACCCAAUCGAGGAAAUAGGCAUUUGAGAUUCUGAGUGGAUAAGUCUGGACAGUACUACUCGUGGCAUGGAGUGUGACUCUUGAAUAUAUUUUCUCAUAGAUAAGAGGACCAAAGAGCAAGUCAAUAUUGGUACAAUCAGGUCGGAAGCAGGGGCGGCUCCUGGAAAACAUUUUAAAUUUUUUUAUUAUUUAAUAUUUUUUAAUUUAAAUAAAUAAACUUUUUAAUAAUAUAUAUUAUUAUAUUAAUAUUAGCCAACCCUGUAAAAUACACCUAGCUCCGCCCCCGGAUACAAUGGUCCCAAUAAAUAAGAUUAAUAAAGAUGUUUGGGGUUGUGGGGUAAUAUGUUUUUUUAUUAAAAUUUUAUUUUAAAUUAAUAUUUUUAGUGUUUUUAAAUCGUUUUAAUAUAUUAAUUAAAAAAAUAAAAAAAAUUAUUUUUAUACAUCAUCUACUACCCUCCAAACACUUCUUAAUAGUCCUACUAAGAAUUGAGAAUAAUUCAAAAUCUAGAUUAAUUCAAGCAGGGAAAUGGUUUGAUAAAAAAUUUUAAAAAAAUCAUCUAGAAUAAUCAAAUAUUUAAAAUGUCAGGGAUUUCAGUGGAGAUCACAUACAACAACUUGUAACAUUCCAACGCAUGAGUUUUUCAAACUAAGAAUAUAUUAUUCCAAUUCUUUUGUUAACAAAUUCCGUUUUGAAUAUAUAUAUAUUUUUUUCAAUAUUCAAACUCUUUUGAAUAUUCUGCUAAUAUUCUUAACAACAGUGCUGCAUCUAAUAAUUAAGUUAAUAAUUGAAGUCAUUUUAUAUCAGAUUCUGAGUUUAGUAAGUAAUAUCAUUCUAUAAGAAAUGAAACCAUGACUAAUCUUUUCAAAAAACGCUAAUGCUAUCAAAUUCUAUUUAUAAAAUUUCACAGCAUUAAUCCAAGUAAUGGAUUUUGAAUAAAAUACUCCGUCGUUGUUUAUAAAAUAUUAAAGAAUAUAACAUAAAUUAUAUUUUGAAGCUUUCCUUCACUAUUUCAAACGAUUUUUUUAGUAUAAUAUUAGAGUUUUCAUAAUUAAAUAGUUACAAGUUUGAAUAUGAAGAUUUUUAUUAAUAUUUUUAUGUAAACCCGCCAGAAGUUGCUUGCGUAAAUGGAAUGCCUUGCAUAAAUUUUUUACUCAUCUCAAUCCUAGCUUUUUAUUGCUUGUCUUGUCUAAUUUUUGCUAAGAUGUUCAUCCAAAAUAUAAUUAUGACCAGGCAUGCAAUUUUAGCCAUGUGUUUCUUGAUUAUACUUCUUUCAAUGCUCUUUGCCCUUGUUCUUGCAGACCCUCUAUUCACUACUUGUUCAACUACUGAAUAUGGUAACUAUGAUCUGAAAAGCCCAUUCGGAAAGAACGUGAAGAUUGUCCUUGAAACCUUGCCUUCCAUCACUUCAUCAACCGGCUAUAACAGCACAGCUAUCGGUGAAUUCCCUGACAAAGUCACUGGCAAAGCACUUUGUAGGGGAGAUGUCACUUCGAGUGCUUGUCAGACGUGUUUGAGAGAUGCAAGCCAAAAACUGUUGAAAGAUUGCGAAAGUAAAGAAGCAAUCAUAUGGUAUGAACGAUGCCAAAUUCACUACUCGUUUCAGAAUAUAAUUUCAUUGGAUGUUUAUGCCGGGAAGUAUCCAGACAUGGAAUCUCAUAAUAAAUCCGUAUCAGAUCCUGUUCAUUUCUAUGACAAUGUAAGGUUCCUCAUGGACAACCUGUCAAAUGAGGCGGCGCUCAAUCGUUCAAAGCUCAUGUUUGAAACUGGGGAAAUCAAGUUUUCAAGGAACGAAACCAUAUAUGGCCAUGUACAGUGCACUAGAGAUAUCAGAGAAGAUGAGUGUCAGAAAUGUUUGAGCUCUGCUUUGAUUGAUCUCAAGGGAUGUUGUUCUUCAAAGCAAGGUGGAAUUAUUGUUAGUAGGAAUUGCAAUGUAAGAUUUGAGCUGUACAAAUACUACAACACCUCAAGUCACUUGAUAACAUUCCCAACUCCUAAAGGUGAGUAAACAGAAUUUGUUUUUACUGAUAAACUGUCAGCAAACAGAAGUUAUGUUUUGAUUACACUUUAGUAAGAAAGGGCAGUACCAGUAACUCUUGGUGUUUCAAAUGCUGGCUUUGCAAGGCAGGAGUAAUUGGAAGAUGGUGGCAAUUAUUGUGUUCAUACCUACAAUGGUGCUUACAAUAGUCAUUGGAUCUUCCAUUUUCUGUCUGAGGCGAAAAAGAAGAAGACAAAGAGGUAUCUGAACCAAGUGAUCACGUCCACUUUAAUUAAAUAGGUUAAUUUACAUCCGAAUUCAAAAGUACUAAAACUCCUAUUUUUUGGCAGACAUGGAAAGAAGUCACCUUACAUUAUUAAAGGAAUCAGCAAGUCCAAUAGGGUUCACAACGACAGAAGAAGGUCAGUUGGUAAGUUCUGAGGACCUGCCUUUCAUGGACUUAAAUACUAUCAGAGCAGCCACAGACAACUUCUCCGACCCGAAUAAGCUUGGACAAGGUGGGUUUGGCACUGUUUAUAAGGUAAGUUGUAAAGGGGCUUCUCUGUCACAAUCCACUGAGAUUCAGCUGUCUUUGCAGUCCAACCCUCUAAAAGGAAAACCCAGUUUUUUAUUCAGUUUGACAUGGUUAAAUAUUGCUUCAGUUCACAAAAUUUUCCUCAUUGCAAAUUGUUUCAGGGUAUGUUAACAAAUGUGAAAGAAAUAGCUGUUAAAAGGCUUUCAAUAAAGUCAUGGCAAGGUUUAGAGGAGUUCAAGAAUGAAUUCAUGCUAAUUGAAAAAUUACAACACCGAAACCUGGUGAGGCUGUUGGGAUGUGGCAUGGAAGGAGAGGAAAAGCUGCUCAUAUAUGAGUUCAUGCCUAACAAAAGCCUUGAUAUUUUUAUCUUUGGUCUGUUCCAUUCAUUUAUUUUGCCUUUGAAUUCUUAAAUUUUACAUUUUCAACAAUUAAAUGACGCAAGAGGCUGAAAUUUCUUCUUAUUCAAAUUUCAGAUGCCGAAAGACGUGCACAGCUUGAUUGGGAGACAUGUUACAACAUAAUUGGUGGCAUUGCUAGAGGACUUCUUUAUCUACAUGAGGAUUCUCGGCUUAGAAUCAUUCACCGGGAUUUGAAACCUAGCAAUGUUCUACUGGACCACGAAAUGGUUGCCAAGAUAUCAGACUUUGGCAUGGCUAGAAUUUUCAGCGAAAACCAGAACAAAGCAAACACCAGAAGAGUAGUAGGAACAUUGUAAAUCCUCUUUCUUCUCCGCUAUUUCUUUUUUCUUGUAUUCUGACGAUUUUGAUCCAUAAUUUUAAUCUCCUAGGGUUUUCUUAUAUGUGAAACAGCGGAUACAUGGCUCCAGAGUACGCAAUGGAAGGAAUAUUCUCAGUGAAAUCGGAUGUCUUCAGCUUUGGUGUUAUACUUCUUGAGAUCAUAAGUGGGAAAAGAAGCAGUGGUUUUUACCUCACAGAGCAUGGCCAGACGCUCUUAGCAUAUGUGCGUACAAUAUUUUCCCUGCCCUUGAACAUUUUCCCUUAAUCUUGGCAGGUAAUGUUAUGACAUAUUAUGAAACCAAAUUCACAGGCAUGGAGAUUAUGGAUCGAAGGGAAAGCAAUGGAGUUUGUGGAUCCUUUGUUGGUGGAAAGAAGCCCAGCAGAAGGGAUUUUGAGGUGCAUGCAUAUUGGGCUGUUAUGUGUGCAGAAGGAUCCAGCAGACAGGCCCACAAUGUCAUUUGUGGAUUUAGCAUUGGCAAGCGACCCAAUAGCUCUUCCUCAACCACAGCAACCAGCCUUUUCUCUUGUUAAAAUUGUUCCAGCUGACAAGUCUUCAUCAACAGAUCGUUCAGUGAAUCAGAUGACAGUCUCUAGUUUCUUACCGAGGUGAUUGUCAAUGAAAUUGCCACUAUGUUAAUGUGUCCGGCAACAGGCAUGGUUGGGAAUAUAUUAUUUCAAUAUAUGUUAAUGUGUCUGAUAUUCUUUUUUGAUAAAUUUGCUAUGCUGACCUGUACUUUGUCACCGAUCGGAUAAUAUUUUUUUUAUAAAAAACAAGAGAAUAUUAAAGCUUUUUAAUGUGUAUUUUGUCAAAAAAAAAAAAACCCUAAUCAUAUAUUGAAAAUUUUAUGCAUAUAUUUAAUUAAAUAAAUAGAAAAUCAUAUAUAUCAAUAAUUAUAUAUAAAAAAAAGAUGUUGACGCAUCUAUUAAAUUUUUUUCACUACGAGUCGGAUAUUUUUUCUAUAACACAAGAGAAAGAAUAUGUAAAUAUUGUUAACAUGUUUUUAUACCAAUAUAUAUAAAAUUAAUUAUUUAAUAUGUAUUGAAAUAUUUUUUUUAAAUACAUAUUUAAAAAGAUAUCAAUAAAAAAAAAAAAAGAAAGUGGUCCAUGCAUCUAGCUCGUGUUGAAAAGUGACAGACAACAUAUCAUUAAGCUCGAUAUCAUGGUUUAAACUUAUAAAAUGUUAGUCAGACUCUUUACUUGACCCAAGUUUUAAAUUCAACUAUGUGAGUAUUGCUUCAAUGUGAUAUUAUCGAUUCGAUAAGUCCAAACUCAUGAUCCUGGUUAUGGACUCCACUUAGUUGAAUUGUUUUUUAAUUUUAUCAUAUAAUAAAAAGAACAUGUAAAUCAAUCUAUAAUUAACUUAAUAUUAAAAGAUAAAAAAAAAUCAACUUUAAAUAAUAAAAUUAAAUAAAUAAAUAAAACAAAAAAUAAAAAAACCAAUAAAAAAAUCUAGUCAUUCUGGGCUGGCCUUUAUGAGUAGACUUUAAACUUAACUCCAUGCUAGCUACUUGAGCAACAACACAAAGUUGUUAACUGAAUAACUAAAAUAAUAUAUCAACCUGGUUAAUUGAUGAUAUAAACAUAUAAUCCCACCUAUUUUUUUUGUUGUAUUUAUAAUUCCUCAUCAUAAAAAUGAAAUAAUACUAUUAUUAGUUAAAUUUUUUUUUUAAAAGGAUUAGAGUACAAACCUCAAUUUGGUCACGAUCAGAUAUAAAAUUUUCAAGGAUUCUCUAAUUUCCAAAACAGGUAUCUUAUCUUUGAUAACACUAAAAAGAAGAAGUUAAUGAAAAAUCAACCUAAAGAUACCACAAAAGAAAAAAAAAAAUCAGGUAGCCAAAGAGAGUGAAGUACUUCAAGAUGUGAAUUAUUAAAUAAUUACUACCUUCAUAAAUCCUAAUUAAUAACACUACCAGAAAAUCAAUAAAUACAAAUAGAAAUAACGAGGGAAUAUUUCCGUCGGUAAAUUUUCGAGGAAUUUUACCGAUGACAAUAUUCCCUCGGUAUAUAUCGAGGUAAUUACAGUGGGAAAAAAAUUAAAACAAAGCAAAAAAAAAUGAUGACGUGUCAUUUUUACCAACGGAAUUACAGAUGGAAUUCUGUCGGUAAAAUCUUUGGUAAACUGUGAACACUGUUCAUCAUGUCAAUUACAAAGGGAAUCACCGACGGACAAUUCCGUCGUUAUUUUCCAGAGAGCUCCAUAACUAUUCACUUUCUAAUUGCACUGUUAAUUAUUCUUCUUUACGAACAAAAUCACUGACGGAUUGAAAAGUCGUCGGUGUUAUUUGGCGGUUUUCUGAAAAAAUUCAAUUAAUUUAAAAUUUUCAUUUAAAUAUUACAGACGGAAUCACCGACGGAUUGAAAAAUCAUCGGUGAUUAUUGGCGGUUUCUGAAAACUUUUUAUGAAAUUAAAAAUUUAAAUUAAAUAUUACAGACGGAAUUACCAACGAAAUAAUUAAAAAAUAUUAAUAUUUAAUUAUCCGUCGGUAAAACCGUCGCUAACGCGUCCCAAUAAAAAACAUGAAUCCUCUUAUUUCACAAGAGACAGACUCAUUUCUUCUUCUUCUUCUACUACUACUUCUUCUUCUUCUUCUUCCUCCCUAUGUGUAAAAAACAUCAAUAACUAUUUCUUUCUCUUCUCUUCUCUCCUCAUCUCCUUCUCUUCUCCUCCAUGCUCGGGUAUGUCUUCUUCUUCUUUCUUCUUUUAUCCUCUUAUUUUUUUAAUUAAUAUGCUUUACGGAUUUUUCUCUCUCCUUAGCUUCACUUGCAACUACAUUAAGGUAAUAUUUUUCUUUUUUCUUCUUUUUUCAUGAUUUUUUUCACUAUAUUUGUUAUUUUAUUUUAUUUUUAGUUGUUUUUGUUCUUAAUAAUUGUAUGAAUGUUGUUGUGAGAUUUUAUUUUUUUCAUAUGAGAUCAAUUUUUAGUUGAUUUAUUUAUAGGAUUUUUAAAUUUUUAGCAAUCGCAACUUCAUUUUUUUCAUAUGAAUUUUUUUAGUUGAAUUUAUUGUUUCGUUUUAUUUAUUUGUUGCAAAUUUGUUUGAGUUGAUUUUUUUCUUCUUUUUUCCAAGCAUUUUGAGUAUAUAUUAUAGAGUGUUGAUUUAUGUUAAUUUAAUUAUUUUAUAAUUUUAUAAAAUGGAUUUUUUUAAAUGUUUUUAAAUAGUUAUCGACAGAAUUACCGAUGGUAUUUUUCGAGGGAUAUACUAACGGAAUGAAGCGGGUAAUUUUUUUUUACGCGUCUGUUCCGUCAGUAAAUCCGUCGGUAAUAAUAUUUUUUAUUACCAACGAAUUUACCGACGAACAAAAAAUUACCGAUGAAAGAUUCACCGACAGAGUGUUUCUGUCGGUGAUUUCGUUGAUAAAUUAAUUACCUAUAAAAUAUAUAUCUUAUACCAACAAAAAAAUUCUUUCAAUAAAACUAUUAAAUAUUAUAAUGAAAAUUCUAUUCAGACAUCAUCAAAAAAGAAAAAUAACUUUCCAACGUAGAAAAACACACAAAGAAGAACUAACGGUACAUGUUCUGCGCAAGUAAUGAUCAUUAUACAUACCUUAAUCCCAAGGCAAAGCAACAUAAAAUCCAAAUUAGAAAUUUCAGCAUGAUUCCGAUAGUUGUGCUAAUAAUGGUGGGUGAUUCGCUUCCUGAGAAUUAUUUUCGAAUGACUUGUAAAAGUAUUAAGGAAGGAAAAUCUUUUCUCAACCACCAAGCAAGAAUGCUUUAUGUCGAAUAUUCAAAUAUAUCCAGAAGAUGGAAAUAUACCUAUAUAUAUAUAUAUCCUCUAAAAGAAAAAUAGAAAAAUAUUAUGUUCCAAUAACGUUGCACAUACAUGGUACAACACUUUUUCCAAGCACUUAUGUUCUUAUUUUUGUACCUUUCUAUACAGACCCAGUAAAAGUACCAUUUAUACUGUAUUUGCUAACUUCACAUAUAGAAAAUUAUUAUUUUAAAAAAUAAUGUUCCAAAUAUAUAAAAAUAAAAAAGAUAUUUCAAAAACAAUGAAUAUAUCCUCCUACAGGAGAUAGCAUCGGGAAAGUUUUUACAACAGCGGAAGCUUGACGAGCAAUGUUGCAUGGAGGUAACCGCAUUGCUAUUAAAUUUGGACUGGUCUGGUAAAUUAACUCGUGAUCUAGAAAUUCAAUAAAACCUAGUUGAGACUUGUUUUUUUUCUAGUCAAAGAUUUUUUUUUAGUUGGUUAUUAUUUCUUUUCAAAGUUUAUUAUAUAAAUACUAAAAACAUAUUUUAUUUUUUCAAUGUGGAUAUUUUAAAGCCCUUUAAUAUAUAUACUAUAUGUUCAUAAAAAAAAAUAUUUUUUUAAUGUGGGAUUUGAAGCCCUUUAAUAUAUGUCAUAACCCAAAUUUUGACAUAUUUUAAUUAUUAUUAUUAUUUUAUUUACUGGAAAAAAUAAAAAAAAUGAUGAUGGAAAAAUAAUAAUAGUAAUGAUGGAAAAACAAGUAAAAUGAAAUAAAUGAAGAAUGAAUUAAAAUUUGGGUUAAGGGCAAAAUGAUUGAAAGUUUUGGUGUUUAAUUAAACUUUGAAAUUAAUCUAAUUAAGCUUGAAAUUAAUUUAAUUAAUCUAAUUAAGGGUUUAAUUGGAGAAUUGAUAAAUUUUUAGACUUAAUUAAGCUUGAAAUUAAUUUAAUUCAUCCAAUCAAGGGUUUAAUUGGAGAAUUGAUAAGUUUUGAGACUUAAUUAAGCUUGGAAUUAAUUUAAUUAAUCCAAUCAGGGGCUUAAUUGGAGAAUUGAUAAGUUUUAGACUUAAUUGGACUUUGGAUUUAAUUAAAUUAAUGAAAUCAGGGACUUAAUUGAAGAAAUAGCAAAGUUUGGGGUUAAUCGGGGAUACGAUUGCAGCAAAUUAAAGUCCAAGGACUAACUUGUAAAAGGCGCCGAAAUGCAGGGAAAAUUACUGUUUAAACCAGGGGUUUAAUUAUAAAAUUUUCGAAACUUCAUGGGUCAAAGUGAAAAUGGCCAUUGAUUAUCUCCAAACGGCGUCGUUUUGAGGAUGUUGUUCAUCUUCUUCUCCUUUAAGCCAGUGAUCGUUUCUGCAGUAAUGGAGGACGCCGAACGUUGCAGCAGUAAUCGUCGUCCGUUGGCUUCAGUAAUGGGCACCUUAAUGGUGGUCGACCCUCAGCCUGCCGCCCGUUACCACCCGCCGAACUCUAUAUAAACGAUGGAGCACCGAAAAAAGAGAGGUGGGUUAAAAGAGAGAGAAAGAGACGAAAGAAACCGGAAAGAAAAGAAACACAAUCAAACCACAGGAACUUUCAGGUUUAUCUCCAGAACUCCCAUACCAGAAAUAGGCUUCCCCUCACCAAUACUGACCCAAGAAAAACGAGAGAGGAAACAGGCCGAGAGAGAGUAGAGAGGUGUUCUGAAAACAGGAGGGGACCAAAAAACAGAGAAACAGGGAGAGAGCAAAACGACAGCAUUCCUGCUUUGCCUUUGCUCUCAAAACGCAAGUGAAGUGCAGAGAAACUGCAAGUGUUGGUCAGCCUAAUUAUUCGUCUCCAGCUACACACUCCAAACCAUCAGGGGGAAACCAGAAAAAAACCAGGAGCAGGAGGGAGUGAACCGGCAAGAGAGGGAGAGAAGCAAACGAAACAGAGGAACAAGCAAACACAGACAGAACAGGGACAGGCAGGAAGAAACCAAUCAGAGAAAAGCAAGAACAAAGGAGAAGGGAAGAGAAAGGAGCUUAGCCGACGAAUCUUUCAUCACGUUUUCAUCUUCAGAGCUACCACGUAAGUAAACUUCUCUUUCCCUGCUAUUCAUUUUAAUUCACCGGUUACUGUUUACUUUGAAUUUUAAUUCACACAUUCUAACUCAUUUCCUCUAUUCUGUUCAUGCACGCGUGACAUCACUUCACGCGUGCUUUCUUUGAUUUUUGCCCAGCCGGGUCACUGGCUUGAGCCUGUGACCCGGCUAGGCCUGCUGGGUCCAGCCCAGCCACAUGGGCUGAGCUGGGCCCAGCCAAAAAAUAAAAAAACAGAAAAGUAAAAAAGGUAGAAAAAAAAUAAAAAAUGUGCAUUCAUGAAUAAAAAUAAUGUAAAUUUAUUGGUUUAUUCACUGACGCCAGAGUCAGGAAUAAAAAUACCGGUUUAAAUUUAUAUUAUUUUUAUUCGGUGUAUUUUAUUUAGCUAGAAAAAUAAAAAAUAUGUGCAUGUGUAAAAAUCAAUUUAUUUUUAUUUAUUUAUUCACUGGCGCUAGAGUAGGGAAUAAAAAAUAUUGAUCUAAUUUUUUUCAUAGCUACGAAUUUUUACCAACGCCAGAGUUGGAAUUAUUCGAGCUCGAAUAUUCACUGGCGCCAGAGUCAGGAAUAUUAUAAACAAAUCAUCAUAGCAUAAGCGAAUAAAUGUUUAGCAAUUUAAGACAAAACCAGCAAUGCAGUCUGCCUCAGGCAGAACGUUUAAGGGGUGAUAAUAUCUUCCUUUUUACGUAAUCAAUCCCGAGCCAUAGAAUCUCUGUUGACCAGUUAGGGUUCCUAGUGACCAUAAUACUAGGUGGCGACUCCUCAAACAAGACAUUUUCCCUUUAAAGAACCAGAUGCCAGAUAAUCUGUUCUUUUUCACAAUCUAGAAUUAAUUUUAGAGCCGCCGCGAUGUCGGGUGCGACAAUAUAUAUACUCUAUGUUCACAAGAAAAAAAUUGUGUUUUUUUAAUGUGAGAUAAAAAUUAUUUUUGAAUUAAAUACUUUAACUUAAAAGGAUAAUAUACUAAUAUAGUAUCUUUUCAAUAUGGGAUGAAAAAUCUUUAGAAAUAAUCUUUUAAACUUCAUUAUUUAUAACAUGUAUAGUCUAUAUUCACAUAAAUUAUUUCAUAAUUUUUUCAUAUAAAAUAUUAAAACUUCAAAUAUUUUUUUAAAUUUUUCCGGGUUGAUUUGAGUUGAUCUAGGUCAACCCAUGUAACCCGGGUCCUGACUUCUUGGCCGGGUCAACCCAUGUAACCCGGGUCCCGACUUCUUGGCCAGGUCAACCCUGGGUCGGGUCUAAUAACUAUGGGUAAAAGGUCUAUGGAUAUCCCAAAAUAAGCUACAGAUGAAAUAUGUUGAAUUUAUUAAGAAUUCUUAUCAAUCUAUCAAGGUUGUCAAUUCCGUUCCGUUUCGCCCGAAAUGGCCGAAACAUUCUAUACCAAUUCAAAAAACGGAACAAAAUGGAAUAAUUUUCAUCUCAUUUUAAAUCUCAGCCCGUUCCGGAUUUUUUGUUAAAUUUCGGCCGGAACGUUCCGGUUUCAUUCCACAUGUUCCAUUCCGUUCUUGAAAAGUCAUUGAAUCAAAUUGAACCUUGUUCAAUUUAAUUAAUUAAACCACCCAAGUAUAAAAAGCUCUUUUUCAUUACUAUUUUCAAUAACAAUGAUAUUAAUAAUAAUAUUGAAAAUUAUUAUUCUUAUUUUCAUUAACAAUGAUAUUAAUUUUUUAAAAUUAGAUUUAUCACUAAUAUAUAUGGUUUAUAUUCAUGUUGUUUUUUUUUUCAUGUUUAUACUUUGUAGGAAUUUGAGCAAAACAAGGGAUGUUUUAGAUUCCAUUAGCCUUGAUAACAUUGACCUAACUUUAUAUUUAAAAUAUUUGUGUUAAAGCAUUUUACUUUUAUAAUAUUUUGAUAUUUUGUUUAAGUUGAAUUACUUUAAGUUAAAGAUCUAUUUAAUCUUGACUAUUUAAAAAUAUUUUAAAUUUUAAAAAUUAUAUUUGUUUGGCAUUGUGUUUGUAUUGCAUAAUUUAUAAUUAAUUUAUCUUGAAUUUGAAUAUAUUUGUUGAAGCACCCUCUACAACUCGAUGCCCAUUUGGCUGUAUUUUUAAAAUGUUUUUUAUUUAAAAAUAUUUUAAAAUAAUAUUUUUUUAUUAUUUAAAAUUUAUUCUUAAUGUUAGCUAAUCACAUGUUGAAUCUUUUAAAAUUAAACUUAGAAGUUGUUUUGUUUUGACUAAUUUUAUUAUUUUCCAAGGAUUUUUUAGAUUUAUUAUUUUAAUUUCAGAUUUUUGUUUUAAUUUUCUUAUUGUUUUCAAAUUUUAAAUUGUUUUUUAACAAAAAUAAGAUUUUUUUUUGCCCUGUUUAAAGAUCCUAAAAGUAUUGCGAAGGCAAAUAUCAUAUACUUAUUUUUUUUAGUUAAUAAAACUUUAAAUUUAUGGUUCAUAUAUAUAUAUAUAUAUAUAUAUAUAUAUAUAUAUAUAGAGAGAGAGAGAGAGAGAGAGAGAGAGAGUAUUAAUACAUAUUUGUUAUAAAAAAAAGUCAUAGAGAGGAUAAUUGUAUCUUGAAGAAUAUAGAGAGCUAUUCUCUUCCGAAGACUCUAUUAUAAUUAAAUAGGAAAUAUACUUUUAGGUUUCUUUGUUUGUAAUAAAAAUGUAUAAGAUGUUGGCGUCUGGUAUCCCUUCCAUAGGUGUCCCUUUUGCGUUUAUCCCCUACGGUUCAUGUGAGAAGGGUACAGGUAUACUAGACAACGUCUAGUUAUUGUCGUGAGAUAUAAGCGAUGAAAAUAGUGAAUACAUAAACAUAUUUGAUAAAAAGAUAAAAAUAAAUUUGUUUUUAAAAUAGAUUUAAAGUUAAUUUUUAUAAUUUUAAAACAGAAAAUAGAGAAUAUGUGUCUAGAAAUAAUAUUUAUUAUUUUUAUUUAUAAAAUAUCCUUGUAAAAAACUAUAAAUUUCAAAAUAUCCAACUAAAACAUGUAAAAAUAAAAAUGAUUAUUAAUAUAAUUUUACCAACUUGGGGGUCGAUCCAGGACAAAACCUAGAUCACUAGUCGAGGCAUAGGUCAUAAGUCGGGUUGACCCGAUUCGAUGUAAAAAUAAAAAUAGUUAUGAUAAUAGUUUUAAAACGCUAUUUGGUGGUCGAUCUCGGGCAAGGUUCGGUUCACGAGUGGAAUUGACCAUUGAGCCAGGUCAACAUAAUAACAAAAAUGAUUAGUACUGUAGUUUUAAAACUUAACUCAAGAAUUGACUUAGGAUAAGACCCAAGUCACAUGUUAGGAGGAUCAACCCUUGUUGACUCAGGUUAAUAUAAAAUAAAAAUGGUUAUUAUCAUAGUUUUAAAAACUUGAUUAGGGGGUCAACCAAGGAGCAAAACUCUAGUCAUAGAUCAAGUGGGUCAACUCAGGUUGACCCGGGACAAUGUAAAGAUAAAAAUUGUUAUUAUUGUAGUUUUAAAACUCUACUCAGGGUCAACCGAGGCAAGGCCCAGGUCACAUGAUUAGGAGGUUCAACACAGGUUAACCCGAGUCAACGUAUAGAUAAAAAUAGUUAUUAUCAUAGUUUUAAAACUCGACUCGGGAGUCGACUCAAGAUAAGAUUCAAGUCAUGAGUUAGGAGGGUCAACUCGGCUAACCCAAAAUUUUUAAUGUUUUUUUCAAAAAAAUCAAUGGGACCCGUGUUUUAUCCAAAGUUGAUCUAAGUUUUUGACUGGGUUAGGUUGAGUCAAUCCUUCCUCUAUUUUUCUUAUACUCGGACUAGUUCAGGCUUCGAAUCAACUCAUCAAGUCGGUCAUGGUUUUAUAACUAGAGUUAUUAUAAUAUUAUUAAUUUCAACCCUUAAUAUAAACUAAAGUAAAAAUAAAAUAAAAUAUUGAAUUUAUUUUUUUAAAUAUGUAAGUUUGAUAACAAUAUAUAUUAAGGGUAAAAUAAAUUUUUUUAUAUUUUAUUUUAUUUUAUUUAUCAUAACCAAAUAAAAUACAAAGAUAAUUAUUUUAUCUUAUAUAUCAUUACUAAACAUAAUUCUAUCUAUGUCUCAUUUUAUAUCUUGCCUCCUCUAUUCCCAUUGUCUCUAUCAAUAAUCAAAAACUACCUUAAAAAAUAGCCAGGAAUGGUGGUAGGUGACUAAAGUCCCGUUUGAAUCAAAGAAUGAUGGUUUUAUUGAAAAUCCAUAACUAUAUAUAAAAACUUAAAUUAUGCAUCAAUAAUAUUUAAUUCAACUAAAAUAUCUUGAAAUUUUGUUAUCUUUAUAACUAAAAUUAAAUUGGAAUUUUAAUAACGAUUUUAAUGCCUUUUUCGUAUAAAGCUAAUUAUUAAAAUAAAAAAUAAAUGAAUAAAAGUUAAAUUUGUGCAUUCUAUUGUGUGUUUUUUUUUUUUGUAAAUUUUAAUCUCUGUCCUCUUGGGGUUUAUAUGUUUUCUAUAUUUUACCUAAAAUUUUUAAUUUAUUUCAAUUAAUUAAAUCCCGUAUCUUUUAUUUUUGUUUCACUUUGUGUAAAUUUCAAUUUCGUCAACAAAGUUUAUGAAAAAUCUUAAUAUCACCGCAAAUAGUGAAAUGAAAAAAUUGAAAAAAUCAUCAAAAAAAGACAAUUUUUUUUUAAAAAAAUAUGAUAAUUUUUCCCCACCAACAUUAUAUAACAGUCUUUUGACAAUAAAAAAUAAAAUUAAACUAAAAACUGAUAUGAUAAAAAAUAUUUUUAAUUAAUAAAAGUAUCAACCACCAUUAUCGUUAUCUCUCACACACUCUUUCACUAGUGUGUGUUAUAUAUCUUGAACAAAAAUCCUAGGAAAAAAACAAUAAUAUCCCAUAUAAAUUUAAGUUUAGGGAUUAUGUUUUGAAAACCAGAUGGCCAAAUAUACUGGGUAGGGCAAGAAAUUGGAAAACGCACAUCAACCUUUCGGCUUUUGGAUCUUCUUGUGGAAAAUGCAGCAACGGGCUCAUAAAUACUCGUUGGGUCAAGUGCGGAUAAGGACAUAGAUUCUUUGAAAUUAGAAUGUGAUUGUCGAUCCCUUGAUGAUUUUCCUUAAUAAUUUUUAAAUGGAAUGGUAGCUUGAAUAUAGGACAAUUUUAACAUCACAUAAUGUUUUGACAAAUCAAAGAUGCUCCUUGAUGAAAACAUCGAAGAAAGAAAGAGAAAUGAUGAUGGAGAUAGAUCAGAAUGGGGAAUGUUUUGAUGAAGAAAAUUAAAAGAGAGAGUUAAAUAAAUUUUAUCAUAUUUGUUCUCAUAAACAAAUAUAUUUUCUACUGAUUUUUGUUUUCAUCUUUGUUAAUUUCAAUUAUUUAAUUUAAUUUCUUUACUUCUUUAAUGAUAUUGUGAUUUUUAAUAAUACAAUUAAAAUCCACACACCCGACAGAAACAAGGGAGGGAGAAAUUGGAACAAAAAUAAAAGAUGUGGGGAUAAAAUAGAUAAAAGAUCUAAGAUCUAAUUGAAACAAACAAAAGAUUCUAUCCUUUAUUUUUCUAAGUUUUUUAAUAAGAUCAAAUUCCGUGUUCUUUUCUCUAUACGUACCUUUAGAUUAUUAUCUCGUACUUAAUUUUAUCAAAUAAAAUAUAGAUAGUAAAACUCAAACUCAUAAUUAAUUGAUGAAUAAAUUUUUUAUAUAUUAUCAAGGAAUUAUUUUAAUUUAAAAAUUAAUUGAUAAAAUUCUAAUAUAUAAUUUAAUUUUAAAUUUUUUAACAAAACAAAACAAUAACAAGUACACACUCAACUAUACGAGGAAAAGGGUCCAUGUAUUUGAACUUGGCAAAUAGAAGACUAGGCAGGAUUCAUAUAAAAGUCAUAUCUAGAAAAUUUUCAUUUGGAUGCCAAUUUAUUCUUGGUCAACCAAUUAAGUCAAUGCUCAGGCCGUUCAUUUUAAAUUUACAAAGUAAAACGUAUUCUCAGGGAUGAUUACAGUUAUUCUCUCCCCAUGAUAUCACCUGUACAGCUUUAUUAGUUCCAUUACUCCACAUGGUUUCAAGUGAAUUUCCAAGCCCCUUUUCAUUUUUUCGUUAAAUUUGCUCCAAAAUGAUCCUGAUGACAACCAUAGAUGUAAAUUUAGUCAUGUUUUUGCUGAUCAUACCGUUUUCAGCUCUCCCAGCCAUUACUGUUGCAGACCAUCUUGUUACAUCUUGCUCCGAUAACACAAGCAACUACACUCUCAACAGUCCAUUUGAGAGCAACCUCAAGCUUCUUCUUGAGAACAUGCCUUCCAUCACUUCAUUAACAGGUUUUAACCACACCUCUGUUGGAGAUAUCCCUGCCAAGGUCUAUGGCCAAGCACUGUGCAGAGGUGAUGUCAACUCAAGUUCUUGUCAGGCUUGUGUGGAGAAGGCAAGCCAACAAAUCUUUAAUGAUUGUAGAAAUUAUAAAGAUGCAAUCAUAUGGUAUGAACUUUGCCAAGUUCACUACUCGUUUCAGAAUAUGACUUCCUUGUAUGUUUAUACAGGGAAGUAUCCAGACUGGGAUUCUCAUGAGAAAUUUCUAUCAGAUCCAAAACAUUUCUCUGAUGUUCUAAUCUACUUAAUGACUAACCUGUCAACUGAGGCCGCUGUCAAUCCUUCCAAGCACAUGUUUGCAACUGGGUCAAUCAAAUUUAGAAGCGAAACCGUAUAUGGUCAUGCACAGUGCACACGAGAUAUCAUACCAGAUGAUUGUCAAACAUGUUUGAAAACUGCUUUGGCUGAACUCAAAGGAUGCUGUUCGUCACGGCAAGGUGGAAUUAUUGUUAGCAGGAAUUGCGAUGUGAGAUUUGAGCUGAACAAAUAUUACAAUGCCUCGAGUUACUUGUUAACAUAUCCGAAUCCUAAAGGUUAGUGCACAGGAGUUUUUUGGCUGAAAAUCUGUGAGCGAAAAGAAGUAAUCAUGUCUUGCAUUAAUGACUGAUAUGGUUAUUCUUAAUUCUUGCCCAUGACGGAUAACAUAUAUGUAGCGCAGAAUUGUCCAGAAUCUUAGUUUAUUAUUUUUGGAGAUUAAAUAUUUUUCUUCAUAAAUUGAAUCUUAUGCAAUUCUAUGCUUUGCAAGGCAGGAAGUAAUUGGAAGAUUGGGAUAGUGGCAAUUGCAGCAUGUGCUCCUGUAGCGGUGAUUGUAAUUGUCAUUGCGUCUUGCAUUGUCUGUCUGCUGAAAAAAAGAGGACAACAAAGAGGUAAAUUAACUAAGCGAUCAGCAGAUUGUUAGGCUAAAUUGAUAUCAGAACUACAAAAGAGUAAAACUCCGAUUCUUUGUCAGGCGUGGAAAGAAGUCACCUAGCAUUAUUACAGGAAUUGGCCUGUCCAAGAGGGGUCACAAUGACAGAUGAAGGUCAGUUGGUAAGUUCUGAGGACCUGCCUUUCAUGGACUUAACUACUAUCAGAGAAGCUACAGACAACUUCUCCGAUUCAAAUAAGCUUGGACAAGGUGGGUUUGGCACUGUUUAUAAGGUAAGUGGUCAUGGGGCUUUGCUGUCAUAAUCCACUGAGAUUCAGGAGUAUGUCUUUCCAAUCCAUCCCUCUAGGAAAACCGAGUUUUUUUGUUCAGUUUGCCAUGGCUUAAUAUUGCUUCAGUUGAUAAUAUUUGCCUCAUUGCAAAUUUGUUUCAGGGUGUGUUACCAGAUGGGAAAGAAAUAGCUGUUAAGAGGCUGUCAAGGAAGUCAUGGCAAGGCUUAGAGGAGUUCAAGAAUGAAGUCAAAGUAAUUGCAAAAUUACAGCACCGAAACCUUGUGAGGCUAUUGGGAUGUGGCAUGGAAGGAGAUGAAAAGCUGCUCAUAUAUGAAUUCAUGCAUAACAAAAGCCUUGAUAUCUUUAUCUUUGGUCUGUUCCUUUCAUUUAGUUUGCCUUUGAAUUCUUAAAUAUUACAUUUUCAACAAUUAAACGAUGCAAGAGGCUGAAGUUUCUUCUUAUUCAAAUUUCAGAUGCCGAAAGACGCGCACUUCUUGAUUGGGAGACAUGUUACAACAUAGCUGGUGGGAUUGCUAGAGGACUUCUUUAUCUACACGAGGAUUCCCGGCUUAGAAUCAUUCACCGGGAUUUGAAACCUAGCAAUGUGCUACUAGACCAUGAAAUGGUUGCCAAGAUAUCAGAUUUUGGCAUGGCUAGAAUUUUCUGCGAAAACCAGAACAAAGCUAACACUAGAAGAGUAGUAGGAACAUUGUAAGCCCUCUUUUAAUUUUUAAUUUUUUUUACCUCUAAUUUCUUUUUCUAGUUUGGUGAUGAUUUUAGUCCUAAAUUCUUAUAACUUAUCCAAAGUACGUCUUACGCACGAAAGAGCGGAUAUAUGGCUCCGGAGUACGCAAUGGGAGGGCUCUUCUCAGUGAAAUCAGAUGUCUUCAGCUUUGGUGUUAUACUACUGGAGAUCACAAGUGGGCAAAGAAGUAGUGGCUUUUAUCUCUCAGAACAUGGCCAGACACUCUUAGCAUAUGUUUGUACAAUACAUCGCUGCCAUCAAAAUUUCCAUUCAAAUAAUUUUCAACCUAUCAAAAAGAAUUUGAAGCUUGAAAAUUAUAACUAGGUACUGUUAUGAUAGUUUUUUUCAUGCAAUUUGACAGACGUGGAGAUUGUGGAAUGAAGGGAGAGAAAUAGAAUUAGUGGAUCCUUCGUUGAUGGACAGAAGUCAAACAGAAGGGAUUGUGAGGUGCAUACAUGUUGGGCUGUUAUGUGUGCAGGAAGAUCCAUCAGACAGGCUAACAAUGUCAUUUGUGGUUCUAGCUUUGGGAAGUGACCCAAUAGCUCUUCCUCAGCCGAAACAACCUGCUUUCUCUCUUGGUAAAAUGGUUCCAAUCUACAAGUCUUCACCAACAGAUCCUUCUGUAAAUCAAAUGACUGUUUCUGGUAUCGCACCGCGCUGAUUGUUAAUAAGAUUGCCACUGUUCCUGUCAAUGUCUGCGGCAAUU
RNAcentral lists this long non-coding RNA (30294 nucleotides) under Populus trichocarpa (black cottonwood). RNAcentral describes it as "long non-coding RNA (PTRI_LNC001109)". Lineage: Eukaryota; Viridiplantae; Streptophyta; Magnoliopsida; Malpighiales; Salicaceae. The record is from RNAcentral.